RNAcentral lists this long non-coding RNA (1900 nucleotides) under Chlamydomonas reinhardtii. RNAcentral describes it as "long non-coding RNA (CREI_LNC000681)". The record is from RNAcentral. Lineage: Eukaryota; Viridiplantae; Chlorophyta; Chlorophyceae; Chlamydomonadales; Chlamydomonadaceae.
GUGGGUCGGGAGGUUGCAUUCAUGACCAAAUGAGAAAUGGAGGCGUAGGUAGGUGAUGGUACAGCAGGCGCGCGCGCCGGGAGGGCGGGGGGGGGGGGUUACAUUCAUGAUUAGUUAAGGAAGUGGUAGACGGUAGACCAUCUUGCGGAACAUGAAGCGUUACCGACGAUGUCGACCAGCUCCUGGCUCCAGCCCGAGCUCCAGCUCCAGCUCCAGCGCGUAGACCCUCCGAAGUAGUGUUCCCGUUUGAUAUAAAGCUGCUGCAUAGCCUGACACGACCUAAGUUCGCGGCGGCACGGCGACACUACUACGCGCGACUAGUCGCGAUCUACGGACGCUCGCUGCCCUAAUAGCUUUCCUACAUACCCCGGCGUGUACUCACCUGCGGCGUGGCAUUGGAACCCACGCCGCGUGACGUCCAGACAUCCAUGCAUAGCAAGAAACGGGAGGGCGAGGUGAGAGGCACAAGGCAAAAGCAAAGGAACCUAAAUGCUAUGGCCGCCGCGACGGGAAUGGACGCGCGCAAACGCUAAGUAGGCCACGGAAUCGGACCCAUGCUGGCAUGGGGAGGGGGACUAGGGGCUGCGUGGCGGGGCUCCUAAGAGCUCCCACCACCACGCAACUCUCCGGGCCACGGGGUGGUGGCCCAGAGAGUCGCAGGUGGGUGGGGUGCCCUGCUAUCCUUUGCCGCGUGGACGGUGUGUUUUCCCUGGAAACCCGGCGGCCGUCCUGUUGGGGGCGGCAGUGAACGGCACUCGGCAGCACAGGCACAGGCAUAGGCACAGGCACAAGCACAGGCGCUGGACGGUACGGAACAUGUAGUCGGUCUUGAUGUCGGCGCCAUUACUAUGAUAUGGAUGGUUUCGUGCGCACCAGCCGCUGUGCUCCGGAUAUCGGGCGGCAUCACCCGGCCCGACAUACGCAGAGCAGCAGCGGACUGGUGGUUCUUGGCUUGUCUUGAGGCAUUGCAGAGGUCCGUGCGCUUCCCGGAUGUCGGGGGAAUCACCCGGCGCGACAUACACAGAGCUGCCACGUACUUGCUUCCAUGCCGGGCCACCGAAUGCCGAAGGACCGGGGCAUGUGGGUUCUUAGUCCGCCAUCGCUUACGCACUAUGGCGGACUAAGCGGAAUCGCCGGGUCAGGGCUCAUCCCCCACAUGCCAAAGCCGCAGCGGUCAAUCGCGGGGGGGUUACAUUCAUGAUUAGUUAAGGAAGUGGUAGACGGUAGACCAUCUUGCGGAACAUGAAGCGUUACCGACGAUGUCGACCAGCUCCUGGCUCCAGCCCGAGCUCCAGCUCCAGCUCCAGCGCGUAGACCCUCCGAAGUAGUGUUCCCGUUUGAUAUAAAGCUGCUGCAUAGCCUGACACGACCUAAGUUCGCGGCGGCACGGCGACACUACUACGCGCGACUAGUCGCGAUCUACGGACGCUCGCUGCCCUAAUAGCUUUCCUACAUACCCCGGCGUGUACUCACCUGCGGCGUGGCAUUGGAACCCACGCCGCGUGACGUCCAGACAUCCAUGCAUAGCAAGAAACGGGAGGGCGAGGUGAGAGGCACAAGGCAAAAGCAAAGGAACCUAAAUGCUAUGGCCGCCGCGACGGGAAUGGACGCGCGCAAACGCUAAGUAGGCCACGGAAUCGGACCCAUGCUGGCAUGGGGAGGGGGUGCGCAGUGAGAGCAGUGCGGAAGUGGCAGGCAGGCGUUGUACGGCUGACCGUGCGGGAGCGGCAGGCAGCGCGUGCACUGCUGACAGGCCCCGGUCAGGAAACCCCAAUCCCCACUCCAACCUCCACAAGUCAAAACCUACAAACCACCCCACCCCACCCCACACAAACACCUCCCCAUCACCCGAAACACACACACACACACGCCACACGCACGCACACGCGGCCUCACCUGG